RNAcentral lists this ribosomal RNA (253 nucleotides) under uncultured bacterium. RNAcentral describes it as "partial 16S ribosomal RNA". It matches the Rfam family "Bacterial small subunit ribosomal RNA", at positions 524 to 776 of the family's 1533-position model. The record is from RNAcentral.
UACGGAGGGUGCAAGCAUUAAUCGGAUCUAUUGGGCGUAAAGGGCGCGUAGGCGGGGAAGUAAGUCAGAUGUGAAAUCCCGGGGCUCAACCUCGGAACAGCAUUUGAAACUACAUCUCUAGAGGGUAGGCGGAGAAAACGGAAUUCCACAAGUAGCGGUGAAAUGCGUAGAUAUGUGGAAGAACACCAGUGGCGAAGGCGGUUUUCUAGCUUAUACCUGACGCUAAAGCGCGAAAGCAAGGGGAUCAAACAGG